Molecule: ribosomal RNA, 314 nt
Filed under: uncultured bacterium
Lineage: Bacteria
Description: bacterial SSU rRNA
Rfam family: Bacterial small subunit ribosomal RNA
Source: RNAcentral
GAUGAACGCUGGCGGCGUGCCUAACACAUGCAAGUCGAACGAAGCGCCUGGCCCCGACGUUCUUCGGAACGAGGAGCCUUGCGACUGAGUGGCGGACGGGUGAGUAACGCGUGGGCAACCUGCCUUGCACUGGGGGAUAACAGCCAGAAAUGGCUGCUAAUACCGCAUAAGACCGAAGCGCCGCACUGGCGCGGCGGCCAAAGGCCCCCGGCGGUGCCAAAGGACUGGGCCCCGCGUCGUGGAUUAGGUAGUUGGCGGGGUAACGGCCCACCCAAGCCGACGAUCAGUAGCCGACCUGACGAGGGUGACCGGCC